RNAcentral lists this small RNA (172 nucleotides) under Chrysemys picta bellii (western painted turtle). Its description in RNAcentral is "TUC338 (ENSCPBG00000014273.1)". The record is from RNAcentral. Lineage: Eukaryota; Metazoa; Chordata; Testudines; Emydidae.
UUGGCAGCUCUGGAAAAUUAAGUUUAUUUAUCUACAGACUAGGUAACUGCACAAACAGGACAGACUUCCCCACACCACCCUAUCAGUAUGCCUCAAGAGCAACCUGGAGAGACCAUUUUUAGGAGUAAAAUGAUAGUUUAGUCUCCAUGUACUGUGACAGACCCAGACCAGU